Molecule: non-coding RNA, 308 nt
Filed under: Cycloclasticus sp. symbiont of Poecilosclerida sp. M
Lineage: Bacteria; Pseudomonadati; Pseudomonadota; Gammaproteobacteria; Thiotrichales; Piscirickettsiaceae
Description: Rickettsia sRNA47
Rfam family: Rickettsia sRNA47
Source: Rfam by way of RNAcentral
UUAAUUGCUCCGCCGUUAUUAUUAGGCAAAACCGUCUGUACCGAGCCUUUACCAAAAGACUGUUGGCCCAUGAUGACGGCCCUUUUUUGGUCUUGCAGAGCACCCGCGACAAUUUCCGAUGCCGAUGCAGACCCACCAUUAAUUAAUACAACGAUAGGAGCGCCUUUAAUAGAGUCACCUGGCUUUGCUUUAAACCGCAUUUUUGAAUUUUCAACUCGACCUUCGGUAUAGACAAUCAAACCUGAGGUUAAAAAGGCAUCGCUAACCGCAACCGCCGCGUUUAGAAGACCGCCGGGGUUAUUCCUUAG